This 1934-nucleotide unclassified non-coding RNA is filed under the name Dendronephthya gigantea. RNAcentral's name for it is "protein CROWDED NUCLEI 4-like, transcript variant X1". Lineage: Eukaryota; Metazoa; Cnidaria; Anthozoa; Malacalcyonacea; Nephtheidae. The record is from RNAcentral.
GCGUUGCGUCAUACUCGUACUCCGUAGUAUUUGCAAUUGGCAAUACGAGACUAGUGGUUCUUGCUAGUCUGGCCAUUUUUUGUAGUUUAGCAGGAAAACACGUAUUGGAGCAUAGUGAAGACGCCAAAUAUGAGUAGAGGAAGAGUGGGAAAGCCUUCCCACCCCGGUAACUCCAACUCUGAUGUAUGUAGCGAAGAAAGUCUGAACAUCAGCGAAAGCAGUGAUUUAAACUCCUUGCCUUCUUGUUCAUCGAGGAUACCGACGCGAAGUAGAAUGCACUACAGAAGAAGUUCUAAUGCAAACCAUAGUGAAUUAGGCAAAGCCGGGAUAAGACUAAAGGAUAUGACUCAUAUGAGUUUAAAAUCUGAUGCUACAGUUAGUCGUCAAGGCGAACUUUCUGAGACGUCGGAUGAUGAUCAUGAAGCGUCUCGGGCUCGUGAUAAAUUCAUCAUUCAUGACACUGAAUCUCAUGAUGAAUUAUCAAAACGACGGCGAAGACCAAAGUUUGUACAAGAAAAAAGAUCAAGAGGUGGAGGGACGAUCCAUACAAAUUCCAGAGAUUACAGAGAUCAGGCACCUGGUCUAAGUAGUGAUGCAGUCCUUGAUUCAAUGAUGCAGGAGGAAUUCAAACGUGGCUGGGUGCAGGGAAGAGAAUCUGACGUGGCAAGAGCCCAAAAGCAAAUGCAAGACCUUCAUUUUUCUGAUAGCUAUAAUCGAUCUGUACAGUUCCAGUUCAAUGUUAAUGCCCAACCAAACAAGGGAACACAAGUAAAUUUGUCUCAUCGAUGUCAGAUGGGCUGUCAAAAUGAGAUUACUGAUUGUCGCCGCACAAUAGCUCAACUUGAAAGUGAGCUUCACAUUUUGGGAGAAAAGUUUCACAAUAAAGAGGUGCAAAAUGAGAGGUUGAAAGAAAAUAAAGACGUUUUAGAGCAAGAAAUUUGUUUUUUAGAAGACAAAAUUACUAUUCAGGCAAAUGCUGCAAUUGAACAGGUGAAGGAGAGUCUUAAUGAAAAAAUUGCAUCUUUAACAAAGAAAAAUGACAUCUUGGCUAAAAAAAUAGCUGAUCUCAUGCAAAUGAAUGAGACUUUAGAAGAGGACAAUGUUCAACUGGUUCAACUCAAACAAAAGGAUGAAAAAAUGCUGGGAAUUUUGGAUCAUUUGGCGGCAAAUGGCCAUUCUUUGGACGAGCAAAAUGGUGCACUCAGACAAAAGGUUGAGCAGCUAGAGGCAGAUUUAAAGCAAGCGGAAGAUGAACGUGAUAGAGCACUUGCUGGCCAAGAAAUUGCACGUGAUGAAUGUGAUAGAGCACUUGCUGACCGAGAAAUGGCACGUGAUGAACGCGAUAGUGCACUUCAGGAUCGCGAUGCUCUAGCUGAACGUCAAGAUCAAAUGCAGAAUUUCCUCUGUUUUAUGAUUUUCCUGAGUUUUGGCCUUUACGGAGCACUUCAGACCUUCCGGGCUCGGGCGCAGGAGCAUGAAGCUCUUCAAGAUCAGCUGAGGGAUAUCAUGGAUGACUUGCACCCAGUAGCCGGGCCUCAGCCAAACAAUGCACCGAAUGUACAUGGAGUUCAAGAUAUAGGAGAUAUCUUCGACCAAACUAUCCAUUUACUCUAUUUCGAGGCCGAUGUCCACGUUCCAGAUUGAGUGAUUACAGAGACGCAUGGCACUGGUUGUGCUUCGGUGUGAACUGAUGUGAACACGUGUUUGGGUUGGCGCCUGUUUGAAGGCGUUUAAUUCACUCGCGGUGCGGUGUUGAUUUGGUUUAAUUCGCGCUGAGCGCGAUCGUUCUUGUAUUCAUUACAAUUUAGGAAUUAAGUAUUUGUUAAAUAGAUAACUUUUCAGUAACUCGUCGUUUGUCAACUAGUUUUUCUGAGCAUGAUAGCUGCACAUAAGGAUUUUUCCUAAUUCUUUCAAUUAAUGUAGCGACAUGUUGA